UUUUUUUUUUUUCUUUUUAGGUUGGCACCUGCAGCAUAUGGAGGUUCCUGGGCUAGGGGUCAAAUUGGAGCUAUGGCUGCUGGUCUUCACUAAAGCUGCAGCACACACCAAUAAUAUCUAAGCCCAGAUCUGAGCCACGUCUGCAUCCUACACUGCAGUUUGCUGCAACGCCAGAUCAUUUAACCCACGGAGCGAGGCCAGGGAUCGAACCCACAUCUUCAUGGAUACUAGUUGGAUUCUUAACCCUCUGAGCUAGAACGGGAACUCCUGAGAACGUCUCCUAAUGUCAACAGUACAUAAGAAUCCAAGACAAAUAGGAGACUUCAACUCUUAUGUGUAAAUGCCUAUUAAAACCCACAAACCCACUACAUACAAUGAAACAUGUAAUGAAAACCUAGUCUCAUGCAGCUAUCCUUCUAGAGGCUGGUGAUAAAGUCAUAGCCCACUACUACCAUCAAACAAGAACAGAAACAAAGAUGCAUCUCAAUACAAUAAUGGUGUGGCCAGAGUUCUGAGAUAACAGAUUAAGCUUGCUAAUACAGCAAGUUAAAAUGUAGGUACUACUAAGAGCAAGCUUGAAGUAUAAUCCUCAAAUGGAACACAACUUUUCACAAGAAUUCCUCUACCACAGAACUGCAAGGAACACCAUCUGGUAGCUUCACAAACACAUGGCCUAGGCCUGGAAGAGAACACAGGAAGAUAAAAAACAGUAAUUAUAUGGAGUGGUAGAAUUAUAAGCAAAGUUUUCUACAUGUAUUUCCUUGUUAUUUAAUGUAGAUGUGAUAAGAAGCUAAUAACUGUUGAUUCAUACUUGUUAUUAAAUAUUCUUUAAUCACUAUUUUGUCAAAAAGCAAAUUUAAACAUUCCCUAAUGAAAAAUGAAUCAGUUUACUAAUUGCUUCUAUUAAUGGAGAUAUUCUAUCAACAUAUUUCUUUGUUAUAAACUUCAUUUUCAGACAGAAAUAACAUGAGGCAAUGAGAGUUAUAUCCCAAUUUCAGACAAAGUAUUUAAUACAGUAUGAAAACAGAAUUAAAUGUUUAUUAAAACAGCACUAGACAUUCUGAAAAACAUAAAAUAUGCAACAGAAAACUCUGGGGCAAACAGAAGGGAGAGGUUUAGUCAAGGGGAUGAAGAUCCAAGCGAAAAGAGUAGGCAGGACCUGCUACGUAGGAAUUAACUGCUACAGUGGCCAGGAUCUUUGCUGCCAUCCUCACUGGCUCAGGCGGUGGGGAGGGGAGCCCAGGUCUCUGGAAAGUGCACUGUGAUCAGGCCCAGGCAUCUUCUCCCAAGGACACCAGGGCUCUCUGGCAGAAAUGUACAGCUGGAACCUCAUAAUCUGUCUACGUUUUGAUAGAGAAAGAGGGGGAAAGUGCCUAGAGGUAGGAAAGGGAGAAUUAUCACAAAGAGCAUCCCAGGCUUCUGAAAAAAUAGUUUGGGGGCCUAAGAAUGAGGAAACAACUGACAUCAGAGACUAGCCCUGUGUCGGUGGGGAGAAUCAUGGCCAAGAGAGGGAAAUGGCAGAGAGAGGAAAAGAUAUAGCCCCCCAAAGAGAAACUGUGAAGACUUGCAGCCUUGCUGCUCUGCAGCUAUGUACAGACAGAGAAACUGACACACAGCUGCUGCUGUCGGAGGGUCCUCAAUGAGGGAGCUAUCAGGCAGGCCUGGCUGAGCUUGUGCUAUCCUGACUGGCAUAUCAUGAGGAUUUUCUUGUUUGACCACAGCUAACUAUCCCAGGAUCUUUGCUUCCAGAAAAUUUGUUAAUGGAGAUAUAACCAUUUAAAAGAAAGACAGGUGGGAAUUCCCUUCCUGGCUCAGUGGUUAACGAAUCCCACUAGAAACCAUGAGGUUGCGGGUUCAAUCUCUGGCCUUGCUCAGUGGGUUAAGGAUCCGUGAGCUGUGGUGUAGGUUGCAGACGCGGCUCGGAUCCUGAGUUGCUGUGGCUCUGGUGUAGGCCAGUGGCCACAGCUCCAAUUCGACCCCUAGCCUGGGAACCUCCAUAUGCUGCGGGAGCGGCCCAAGAAAUGGCAGGGAAAAAAAGACAAUAAAUAAAUAAAUAAAUAAAUAAAUAAAUAAAUAAAUAAAUAGACAGGUGCUCCAAUCCAGGCCAAUGGGAAAAACUGAACUUACACAUCUCUCCCAAAGUUUAAAAAUAUGACAUCUGAAAUUUGUACUGAAAUUCAAGGUGACUUUUUUAAAACUUAACUUUCCAAGGAAUGGUGGGAAUCCUAGAUGACAAAUUUUCUGAUUAAUAUUUCCACUAAAAAGAAUUAAGUUGGAAUCAACUAGAAAUUUCUCUUUUUAUACUUUGGUUUGAGGUUUGAUGUUCUCCUUAUCUUGAGGAUAAUUAUUGAGUUUUGCCUUACACCUAAUGAAAAGAACAAAAUCUAUUUUAAUUUUAGAAUUUACUCUGACCCAAGAGUCAGUCAGAUUUCUCCAAACCCUUAUCUAGAAUACAUCUUUCAGUUUUAAAUGAGACUUUUGACAUCUCCUGGCAAGGUUGACACCUUAGCUCAAGUACUACCUCCCUUGGUUAUACUUCCCUACAGUUGCCUUUAGUAUGGUAAUCAGCAGUUUGGGAAACAAAGGAAUUGUAGAAGAAUUUUAGAAACUAGAAAAUCUAGAUAAGUGGUCAAUAUCUGAGGAGAUAAAGAGAAUCUAAGUCCAUAAACUCGAAGAUACAAAGUGAUUUUAUGUUGUUAUACAUUAUAAAAUAACAGCUCUCAUGUACUGAAUGCUUAUGCUGUGCUAAGCCUAUGUCUAUAUAAUUAUUCUAAAUGAUUUCAUCUCCCAAUUCCCAUAACCACCUGUAAAUUUGAUGGUGUCACCUUAUUUUACACUUGAAGAAAUAAAGGCCUAGAGAGACCAGAUCAAGGCCCAUGGCCACAGAGCUAGAAGGUGGCAGAGACAGGAUUUGAAUACCCCUGACUCCAGAGUCUAUUUGCUCAGCACCAACCCUGCCCCAUCAAUGUAAUAUACUAGACACUCCAGGACUGUCUUCUCCAAGAGGCCUUCCUGGCCAGCAUCUUCACCCCACCUCCUCUGCUCUGAAUUGCAUCCUGUCCUGUGUGUUUUCAGAGCCCUUUACCAAACUGUCUCCCAAUAAGGACUGCACAUUUCUUGAAGGCAGGGUCCAUGGCUUACUUAUCUUUAUACCUUCAGCACCUACCAAAGAGAGUGAGAAAGAGCUUACAGGAUGUUGAAAUAAGAGAUAUCUAGGGAAGAUGCCAGAAUUAAACAUUUACUAUCCUCAUGCAAAAUCUAACAGAUUUAUACUUUCAUUUUAUACAACUGGCAUUACUAGUUAUUCUUUUUAUAACGCUGAUAGUUUAUAUACAGGUAUAUCUCAUUUUAUUGUGCUUUAAUUUAUUGUGCUUUCCAGAUAUUGCAUUUUUUUACAAAUUGAAGAUUUGUGGCCACCUUGCAUUGUCAGAUGAAGGCCAGCAUUCUUUUAGCAAGAAAGUGGGGGGGGGGUUGGUUUGUUUGUUUUGUUUUGUUUGUCUUUACAGGGCCACAUCACAGUAAAUAGAGGUUCCCAGGCUAGGGGUCAAAUCAGAGCUGUACCUGCAGGUCUACACCACAGCCACAGCAACACAGGAUCCAAGCUGCAUCUGCGACCUACACCACAGUUUACGGCAAUGCUGGAUCCUAAACCCACUAAGCGAGACUGGGGAUCAUACCUGAGUUCUCCUGGAUGCCAGUCAGAUUCAUUUCCACUUAACCACGACAAAAACUCCAAUGAAAUAUUUUUAAAUUAAGGCAUGUACGUAGUUUUUUUAGACAUAAUACUAUUAAAUACUUAAUAGACAACAGUAUAGUGUAAACAUAACUUUUACAUGUACCGUGAAACCAAAAAAUUCAUUUGACCAGCUUUAUUGAGAUAUUCACUUUAUUAUAACGGUCUAGAAUCAAACCCACAAUAUCUCUGAGGUAUGCCUGUAAAUGAGUUGAUUCUAUUUGCAAGUAAUUCUGCUACCUUAGCAGCUGUAGUAGGCAACUGUAACAGUGAAGGCAUCAACAGUGGCCAAAGGAAUGAAUAAAAAAUAAAUAUACAUUGUAUAUUAAAUAAAGUGGAACCAAAUGCUAAUUGUUGAUUAAAAAUGAACACUAAGAUGUAACCAACCACAAUGAAUUUUUUUUUUUCUUUUUUGGUGGUGCCUCAGCAUAUGGAGUUCCCAGACCAGAAAUGAGAUCAAAUCCACAGUUGCAACUGAGCUGCAGGUGUGGCAACACCAGAUCUUUAACCCACUGUGCCAGACCAGGGAUCAAACCUGUGUCCCAGAACUCCAAGAGGUUUGUGCCACAGCAGGAACUCCUGAAAAGGCCUUGAGCAUUAUGUGACAGUGCACAAGAAUUCAUAUUCUUCCUAUAAAUGUCUGGUUCUCCUGCCCCUAAGUGUUUCAGAGAGUGACAGAGAAAGCUCUAGCUUAGAAGAACUGUUUUGUCAAGUAAAAAAUGGCCUCAAAAGUAUUUACAAUUCUCAUUUGCUCAUUCUUACUAUUGAAAAACAGUGAAAAUGCUCAUGAGGACUUUAAAUAAAACUUUCAUUACAUGCAAAGGAAAUGGUACAAGCUACACAUUAAAUUGUCUAGUUUCUUAGUUAAGUAAAGUAAGGAAGUAUUCAAGAUAAGGCUGACACACACCCUUCCCAGUGGUGAUCUGCCACCCCCAGAUUAAAAACAAAAACAAAAAACUGUAAUCAAAGCCAAUCUUAAGCAAAGCAAGGUCCUGGCAAAAUGCUCCAUUUCCUCCUACAAAUAUCCACAGCAGGGCUGUACCAAGCCAUUUAUGUACCAAGUGUUUUCUUGGUCAUUAAAGUAUUUCCCUCUCUCAGGCUCAUGGGCUCCCUCUCUUCAUCUCUCUCUCUCACUCUCUUUCUCUUCCCACCCCUUCUCCCUUUGUCCCUCGCUCUCUGUCUCUAUCUCUGUCUCUGCCCCUCUUAACAGCUUUUCAUUCACUUGACAUGUGAGCCCUGCUAUAAGUACCUAGACACCUACCAGUAACCAACUCUCCCAGUCAUGCCUCCCUGGCAAGUUUCCAGAUAAGAAAGAAAGAACCCCUUUAAAAGACGAUGGUGAAGACAACCAGAAUGUCCACCUAAUGCUGAACAUUCCAGAAUUCUUCAAAGUACAGCUGACCCAUGGAGUUCCUGUCAUGGCACAGCAGAAACGAAUCCAAUCAGGAACCAUGAAAGUUUUGUGGGUUCGAUCCCUGGCCUUGCUCAGUGGGUUAAGGAUCUGGUAUUGCCAUGAACUGUGGUACAGGUCACAGACACGGCUCAGAUCCUGCCUUGCUAUGGCUAUGGUGUAGGCCAGCAGCUACAGCUCUGAUUAGACCCCUAGCCUGGGAACCACCAAAUGCCAUGGGUGCAGCACAAAAAGACAAAAAGAAAAAAAAAGACAAAGUACAGUUGACCCUUGAAUAACACAGAUUUGAACUGAACAGGCCCACUUAUAUACUAACUUUUUUUUUCCUUUUUAUGGCUGCACCUGCAGCUUAGGGAAGUUCCUGGGCUAGGGGUCGAACCAGAGUUGCAGCUGUAGGCCUACACCACAGCCAUAGCAACACUGGAUUUGAGCCACAUCUGCAACCCAGGCUGCAGCUUAUAGCACCAGAUCCUUAACCCACUGAGCGAGGCCAGGGAUCAUACCCACAUCCUCACAGAGACAAUGUCAGAUCCUUAACCCACUGAGCCACAAUGGUAACUCCUAUGCAGACUUUUAAAAAUAAUAAAUAUUACUGAUCCACAGUUAGCUCAAUCCACAGAUGCAGGAUAGCUCAUAUAGACAAAAAGGAUAUAGGGAGAGCUGGCUUUAAAUUAAAUGUAGAUUUUUGACUGUGCCAGGAUGAAGUCCCAAUUCACCAGUCCCCCUGUUCAAGGGUCAACUGCUAUAUUUAAAGAACCAAAAAAUGUCAAACUACUAAAAUUCUUCUGGUAGUGCUACCCAUUGUGUUGCCAUUUUAAGCUAGACUAAGGAGAAUACUUGAAGAAUUCUAAAUUCUAGCUCCCCUAAAAAUGUCCAUUGGUCUAGCAUCCAAAUUUGUUAUUAUGUCAGAAAGCCAUUGCUUUGGCAGCUAUUCUGCAGCUUAUGUAAAAUGAGUCAGGAUGCUCAGUCCAGUUCCAGACAACUGGUGUCCAGGUCAUAUAUCACCUGUACUGGGGACAGCUCUGGACUCAGAGUGUCCUCCCUGAGGCUUGGUGGGUGACAAGAUAGGCCAGAACAAGGAGACCCAAAACCCUGCAGAUAGACAGAGCCCAUAGGGAGAAGCGUCCCAAGAGGGAUGGCUGGUCUGGGGGAUUCAUUUGCUUAUUACAAUAAAAUAAUUGAAAGUACUGUUGAACUAGAGGAAUGACUCUAUGUGUUUGCAGGGUUGUGGGGAGACAGCAAGGCAUUAGAGUCUGACAGGAGGGGACCUUUAAAAGCUGCGCAGAUCCUGGUAUUUUCCCAGCCCACAGAAAAAGAUGUGGGGUCCCAGGUAGCACACCAAGCCAAGGAGGGACCAGCUGAGGCUUGGUCACAGAAACGGCAAAAAAAAAAAAAAAAAAAAAAAAAAAAACUAAACUAAACAGUCAUUGGUCAUAGUGAAA
Molecule: long non-coding RNA, 6586 nt
Filed under: Sus scrofa (pig)
Lineage: Eukaryota; Metazoa; Chordata; Mammalia; Artiodactyla; Suidae
Description: lncRNA (ENSSSCG00050026371.1)
Source: RNAcentral